UCAUAGUAGCCUUUGUGAGAACUAGAUGAGUUCUACACAGUAGAUCCUGGCUCGAGGACCUAUUUGUAGGAUGUUGCCAGAUGCUUGACCCACAAAGGGAGGAACACAAUUUCUGGAUUUUUACCACACCCUCAUCUGUGAUCUUUCCCAGGGAUUGCUGUUUCUUCUUAUGUAUUAUCACAGCAAUACUCACAGAGCAGCAUUUCUUGAUCUGGUGAAUAAAGCACCAAACCAGGAAUAAAGAAAUGGCAUGUUCUACAGUAAGUGACACUGGGAGGCUUUUGACAACAGUACUGGGUGAGGUGUAAAGACCUGGAUGGCAUCUUGGAAUGUGUGAAUGGAAAGAAAUGAUGAUGGCCCUUGUAUGAUCUGUGACUAGGAUUGUAUCCUGUUGACUUAGACUCAUCAAAGUCCAGCGGCAAUACGAAAAUCAGGACAACCGGCAAUGGUCUGGGAUACAAUGGAUGAUCUUGGAAUCUUCAUUGUCUGACAAAGGUCUAAGCAUAUAGAGCCUGUUUCAACCAUCUUUAAUGACCAUUAAGAACCAUUGGAACAAUUGGUUCCAAUCCAUCCACUCUACUAAAGAAGACAUGCUUGUGGUAGACAUUCUUUUACCUCACAAACAGCUUUGAAGCCUCUUGAUUGCCCUCAACCUAGUUUAGCUUAUAUAUGGUACUGUUUUACCAAGAAUGAUUCCUGUGCAUGCUUCAGUUUCUUGGAGCCACAAUAGUUGAGAGUUGGGUGACAGGUAGACACUAAAUCUGGAUGAGUAAUCCUGAAAAGCGUUCAGUAAAUUCUUAUGCUUAUAUUAUAUAAUAUAAUCUGUAUAUUUAUUGACUUUGAAAAUGUUUGUGUCAUUAAAGAUAAUUCAGAAUGGUUA
Molecule: long non-coding RNA, 880 nt
Organism: Antechinus flavipes (yellow-footed antechinus)
Lineage: Eukaryota; Metazoa; Chordata; Mammalia; Dasyuromorphia; Dasyuridae
Exons: 3
Source: RefSeq, a predicted model, not a curated record